RNAcentral lists this ribosomal RNA (389 nucleotides) under Hemidactylus hajarensis. Its description in RNAcentral is "partial 12S ribosomal RNA". It matches the Rfam family "Bacterial small subunit ribosomal RNA", at positions 794 to 1384 of the family's 1533-position model. Lineage: Eukaryota; Metazoa; Chordata; Lepidosauria; Squamata; Gekkonidae. The record is from RNAcentral.
GCUUAGAAGUAAACCAAGGCCGCAACCUCAUCCCGCUGCCCGCCAGAGUACUACAAGUGAAAAACUUAAAACUCAAAGGACUUGACGGCAUUCCACAUCACACUAGAGGAGCCUGUCCUACAAUCGAUAACCCACGUUCUACCUCACCUGUCUUUGCCCAAUCAGCCUAUAUACCGCCGUCUACAGCCCGCCUUACAAAAGCCCCCACAGCGAGCCAACCAGCCCCACGCUAAAACGUCAGGUCAAGGUGUAGCUAACGGACAGGAAGAGAUGGGCUACAUUUUCUAAUAAUAGAAAACCACUACUAACACCAUGAAACAAGUGCACAAAGGAGGAUUUAGCAGUAAGCCACGCAAGCCAGCCUGACUGAAUAAUGCCCUGGAAUGCGU